RNAcentral lists this long non-coding RNA (209 nucleotides) under Elaeis guineensis (African oil palm). Its description in RNAcentral is "long non-coding RNA (EGUI_LNC046415)". Lineage: Eukaryota; Viridiplantae; Streptophyta; Magnoliopsida; Arecales; Arecaceae. The record is from RNAcentral.
UGAGAAACAGAGGAAGUGUUUUUCCUCUCGGGCGUGAGCUGUGGGUUCUAAGGUUUCAACUCUAGAUUUUAUGAAAAGAAAAUAUAAGAGUGAGUCUUAUCCAAUCUUUCACACUACCACCUCCUCGUAAAGCUUCAUCUUCUAAUCUGGAGGAGUCCAGGAGAUCCAAAGAAAGGAGCUUGGAUCAGCCAUCCAGAGCCUUCGAUGUG